This 482-nucleotide ribosomal RNA is filed under the name uncultured bacterium. RNAcentral's name for it is "partial 16S ribosomal RNA". It matches the Rfam family "Bacterial small subunit ribosomal RNA", at positions 30 to 507 of the family's 1533-position model. The record is from RNAcentral.
AUUGAACGCUGGCGGCAUGCCUUACACAUGCGAGUCGAACGGUAACGGGCCUUCGGGUGCCGACGAGUGGCGAACGGGUGAGUAAUACAUCGGAACGUGCCCGAUCGUGGGGGAUAACGAGGCGAAAGCUUUGCUAAUACCGCAUACGAUCUACGGAUGAAAGCAGGGGACCGCAAGGCCUUGCGCGGACGGAGCGGCCGAUGGCAGAUUAGGUAGUUGGUGGGAUAAAAGCUUACCAAGCCGACGAUCUGUAGCUGGUCUGAGAGGAUGAUCAGCCACACUGGGACUGAGACACGGCCCAGACUCCUACGGGAGGCAGCAGUGGGGAAUUUUGGACAAUGGGCGCAAGCCUGAUCCAGCCAUGCCGCGUGCAGGAUGAAGGCCCUCGGGUUGUAAACUGCUUUUGUACGGAACGAAAAGCCUUCUUUUAAUACAGGAGGGUCAUGACGGUACCGUAAGAAUAAGCACCGGCUAACUACGUG